Small nucleolar RNA from Setaria italica (foxtail millet), 139 nucleotides. It matches the Rfam family "Small nucleolar RNA Z247". Rfam says of the family: Z247 is a member of the C/D class of snoRNA which contain the C (UGAUGA) and D (CUGA) box motifs. Most of the members of the box C/D family function in directing site-specific 2'-O-methylation of substrate RNAs. The record is from Rfam. NCBI's taxonomy places the organism in Eukaryota, Viridiplantae, Streptophyta, Magnoliopsida, Poales, Poaceae.
UCUAUUGGAGAUGAUGAAGUUGUGGUGCAUAUUUUCAAUGGUUUAGAUUUCAAUUAUCAUCCUUUUGUGUCCUCUAUGCUUGGCCGUGGUGAUGCUAUUUCACUUUUGGAUCUGUACUCACAACUUAUGGAGUAUGACC